AAAUUGAAGAGUUUGAUCAUGGCUCAGAUUGAACGCUGGCGGCAGGCCUAACACAUGCAAGUCGAACGGUAACAGGAAGCAGCUUGCUGCUUUGCUGACGAGUGGCGGACGGGUGAGUAAUGUCUGGGAAACUGCCCGAUGGAGGGGGAUAACUACUGGAAACGGUAGCUAAUACCGCAUAACGUCGCAAGACCAAAGAGGGGGACCUUAGGGCCUCUUGCCAUCGGAUGUGCCCAGAUGGGAUUAGCUAGUAGGUGGGGUAACGGCUCACCUAGGCGACGAUCCCUAGCUGGUCUGAGAGGAUGACCAGCCACACUGGAACUGAGACACGGUCCAGACUCCUACGGGAGGCAGCAGUGGGGAAUAUUGCACAAUGGGCGCAAGCCUGAUGCAGCCAUGCCGCGUGUAUGAAGAAGGCCUUCGGGUUGUAAAGUACUUUCAGCGGGGAGGAAGGGAGUAAAGUUAAUACCUUUGCUCAUUGACGUUACCCGCAGAAGAAGCACCGGCUAACUCCGUGCCAGCAGCCGCGGUAAUACGGAGGGUGCAAGCGUUAAUCGGAAUUACUGGGCGUAAAGCGCACGCAGGCGGUUUGUUAAGUCAGAUGUGAAAUCCCCGGGCUCAACCUGGGAACUGCAUCUGAUACUGGCAAGCUUGAGUCUCGUAGAGGGGGGUAGAAUUCCAGGUGUAGCGGUGAAAUGCGUAGAGAUCUGGAGGAAUACCGGUGGCGAAGGCGGCCCCCUGGACGAAGACUGACGCUCAGGUGCGAAAGCGUGGGGAGCAAACAGGAUUAGAUACCCUGGUAGUCCACGCCGUAAACGAUGUCGACUUGGAGGUUGUGCCCUUGAGGCGUGGCUUCCGGAGCUAACGCGUUAAGUCGACCGCCUGGGGAGUACGGCCGCAAGGUUAAAACUCAAAUGAAUUGACGGGGGCCCGCACAAGCGGUGGAGCAUGUGGUUUAAUUCGAUGCAACGCGAAGAACCUUACCUGGUCUUGACAUCCACGGAAGUUUUCAGAGAUGAGAAUGUGCCUUCGGGAACCGUGAGACAGGUGCUGCAUGGCUGUCGUCAGCUCGUGUUGUGAAAUGUUGGGUUAAGUCCCGCAACGAGCGCAACCCUUAUCCUUUGUUGCCAGCGGUCCGGCCGGGAACUCAAAGGAGACUGCCAGUGAUAAACUGGAGGAAGGUGGGGAUGACGUCAAGUCAUCAUGGCCCUUACGACCAGGGCUACACACGUGCUACAAUGGCGCAUACAAAGAGAAGCGACCUCGCGAGAGCAAGCGGACCUCAUAAAGUGCGUCGUAGUCCGGAUUGGAGUCUGCAACUCGACUCCAUGAAGUCGGAAUCGCUAGUAAUCGUGGAUCAGAAUGCCACGGUGAAUACGUUCCCGGGCCUUGUACACACCGCCCGUCACACCAUGGGAGUGGGUUGCAAAAGAAGUAGGUAGCUUAACCUUCGGGAGGGCGCUUACCACUUUGUGAUUCAUGACUGGGGUGAAGUCGUAACAAGGUAACCGUAGGGGAACCUGCGGUUGGAUCACCUCCUUACCUUAAAGAAGC
RNAcentral lists this ribosomal RNA (1554 nucleotides) under Escherichia coli. Its description in RNAcentral is "bacterial SSU rRNA". It matches the Rfam family "Bacterial small subunit ribosomal RNA". The record is from RNAcentral. Lineage: Bacteria; Pseudomonadati; Pseudomonadota; Gammaproteobacteria; Enterobacterales; Enterobacteriaceae. RNAcentral also lists the same sequence under 1 other name.